Molecule: ribosomal RNA, 561 nt
Filed under: Aspergillus insuetus
Lineage: Eukaryota; Fungi; Ascomycota; Eurotiomycetes; Eurotiales; Aspergillaceae
Description: SSU rRNA
Rfam family: Eukaryotic small subunit ribosomal RNA
Source: RNAcentral
UCGUAGUUGAACCUUGGGUCUGGCUGGCCGGUCCGCCUCACCGCGAGUACUGGUCCGGCUGGACCUUUCCUUCUGGGGAACCCCAUGGCCUUCACUGGCUGUGGGGGGAACCAGGACUUUUACUGUGAAAAAAUUAGAGUGUUCAAAGCAGGCCUUUGCUCGGAUACAUUAGCAUGGAAUAAUAGAAUAGGACGUGCGGUUCUAUUUUGUUGGUUUCUAGGACCGCCGUAAUGAUUAAUAGGGAUAGUCGGGGGCGUCAGUAUUCAGCUGUCAGAGGUGAAAUUCUUGGAUUUGCUGAAGACUAACUACUGCGAAAGCAUUCGCCAAGGAUGUUUUCAUUAAUCAGGGAACGAAAGUUAGGGGAUCGAAGACGAUCAGAUACCGUCGUAGUCUUAACCAUAAACUAUGCCGACUAGGGAUCGGGCGGCGUUUCUUUUAUGACCCGCUCGGCACCUUACGAGAAAUCAAAGUUUUUGGGUUCUGGGGGGAGUAUGGUCGCAAGGCUGAAACUUAAAGAAAUUGACGGAAGGGCACCACAAGGCGUGGAGCCUGCGGCUUAAU